GGGUUGUGAGGUUAAGCGACUAAGCGUACACGGUGGAUGCCUAGGCAGUCAGAGGCGAUGAAGGGCGUGCUAAUCUGCGAAAAGCGUCGGUAAGCUGAUAUGAAGCGUAAUAACCGACGAUACCCGAAUGGGGAAACCCAGUGCAAUUCGUUGCACUAUUGCAUGGUGAAUACAUAGCCAUGCAAGGCGAACCGGGGGAACUGAAACAUCUAAGUACCCCGAGGAAAAGAAAUCAACCGAGAUUCCCCCAGUAGCGGCGAGCGAACGGGGAAGAGCCCAGAGUCUGAAUCAGUUGGUGUGUUAGUGGAAGCGUCUGGAAAGUCGCACGGUACAGGGUGAUAGUCCCGUACACAAAAACACACUGGCUGUGAACUCGAUGAGUAGGGCGGGACACGUGACAUCCUGUCUGAAUAUGGGGGGACCAUCCUCCAAGGCUAAAUACUCCUGACUGACCGAUAGUGAACCAGUACCGUGAGGGAAAGGCGAAAAGAACCCCGGCGAGGGGAGUGAAAUAGAACCUGAAACCGUGUACGUACAAGCAGUGGGAGCACCUUCGUGGUGUGACUGCGUACCUUUUGUAUAAUGGGUCAGCGACUUAUAUUUUGUAGCAAGGUUAACCGAAUAGGGGAGCCGUAGGGAAACCGAGUCUUAACUGGGCGUCUAGUUGCAAGGUAUAGACCCGAAACCCGGUGAUCUAGCCAUGGGCAGGUUGAAGGUUGGGUAACACUAACUGGAGGACCGAACCGACUAAUGUUGAAAAAUUAGCGGAUGACUUGUGGCUGGGGGUGAAAGGCCAAUCAAACCGGGAGAUAGCUGGUUCUCCCCGAAAGCUAUUUAGGUAGCGCCUCGUGAACUCAUCUUCGGGGGUAGAGCACUGUUUCGGCUAGGGGUCCAUCCCGGAUUACCAAACCGAUGCAAACUCCGAAUACCGAAGAAUGUUAUCACGGGAGACACACGGCGGGUGCUAACGUCCGUCGUGAAGAGGGAAACAACCCAGACCGCCAGCUAAGGUCCCAAAGUCAUGGUUAAGUGGGAAACGAUGUGGGAAGGCAUAGACAGCCAGGAUGUUGGCUUAGAAGCAGCCAUCAUUUAAAGAAAGCGUAAUAGCUCACUGGUCGAGUCGGCCUGCGCGGAAGAUGUAACGGGGCUAAACCAUGCACCGAAGCUGCGGCAGCGACGCUUAGGCGUUGUUGGGUAGGGGAGCGUUCUGUAAGCCGUUGAAGGUGGCCUGUGAGGGCUGCUGGAGGUAUCAGAAGUGCGAAUGCUGACAUAAGUAACGAUAAUGCGGGUGAAAAACCCGCACGCCGGAAGACCAAGGGUUCCUGUCCAACGUUAAUCGGGGCAGGGUGAGUCGACCCCUAAGGCGAGGCUGAAAAGCGUAGUCGAUGGGAAACAGGUUAAUAUUCCUGUACUGGGUGUGACUGCGAAGGGGGGACGGAGAAGGCUAGGCUAGCCGGGCGACGGUUGUCCCGGUUUAAGCAUGUAGGCGGAGUGACUUGGUAAAUCCGGUUGCUUAUCAACGCUGAGGUGUGAUGACGAGCCACUACGGUGGUGAAGUAGUUGAUGCCAAGCUUCCAGGAAAAGCCUCUAAGCAUCAGGUGACAUUCAAUCGUACCCCAAACCGACACAGGUGGUCAGGUAGAGAAUACUCAGGCGCUUGAGAGAACUCGGGUGAAGGAACUAGGCAAAAUGGUGCCGUAACUUCGGGAGAAGGCACGCUGGCAUUAGGUAAAGAGACUUGCUCUCGGCGCCGAAGCCAGUCGCAGAUACCAGCUGGCUGCAACUGUUUAAUAAAAACACAGCACUGUGCAAACACGAAAGUGGACGUAUACGGUGUGACGCCUGCCCGGUGCUGGAAGGUUAAUUGAUGGGGUCAGCCGCAAGGCGAAGCUCUUGAUCGAAGCCCCAGUAAACGGCGGCCGUAACUAUAACGGUCCUAAGGUAGCGAAAUUCCUUGUCGGGUAAGUUCCGACCUGCACGAAUGGCGUAAUGAUGGCCAGGCUGUCUCCACCCGAGACUCAGUGAAAUUGAACUCGCUGUGAAGAUGCAGUGUACCCGCGGCAAGACGGAAAGACCCCGUGAACCUUUACUAUAGCUUGACACUGAAUAUUGAGCCUUGAUGUGUAGGAUAGGUGGGAGGCAUCGAAGCGUGGACGCCAGUCUGCGUGGAGCCAACCUUGAAAUACCACCCUUUAAUGUUUGAUGUUCUAACUCGGCCCCAUAAUCUGGGGUGAGGACAGUGUCUGGUGGGUAGUUUGACUGGGGCGGUCUCCUCCCAAAGAGUAACGGAGGAGCACGAAGGUUAGCUAAUCACGGUCGGACAUCGUGAGGUUAGUGCAAAGGCAUAAGCUAGCUUGACUGCGAGAGUGACGGCUCGAGCAGGUACGAAAGUAGGUCUUAGUGAUCCGGUGGUUCUGAAUGGAAGGGCCAUCGCUCAACGGAUAAAAGGUACUCCGGGGAUAACAGGCUGAUACCGCCCAAGAGUUCAUAUCGACGGCGGUGUUUGGCACCUCGAUGUCGGCUCAUCACAUCCUGGGGCUGAAGUAGGUCCCAAGGGUAUGGCUGUUCGCCAUUUAAAGUGGUACGCGAGCUGGGUUUAGAACGUCGUGAGACAGUUCGGUCCCUAUCUGCCGUGGGCGUUGGAAGAUUGAGAGGGGCUGCUCCUAGUACGAGAGGACCGGAGUGGACGCAUCACUGGUGUUCGGGUUGUCAUGCCAAUGGCAUUGCCCGGUAGCUAAAUGCGGAAAAGAUAAGCGCUGAAAGCAUCUAAGCGCGAAACUUGCCUCGAGAUGAGUCUUCCCUGGGGCUUUAAGCCCCCUGAAGGAACGUUAAAGACUAUGACGUUGAUAGGCUGGGUGUGUAAGUGCAGCGAUGCAUUGAGCUAACCAGUACUAAUGAUCCGUGAGGCUUAACCUUACAACACCGAAGGUGUUU
This 2934-nucleotide ribosomal RNA is filed under the name Yersinia ruckeri. RNAcentral's name for it is "bacterial LSU rRNA". It matches the Rfam family "Bacterial large subunit ribosomal RNA". Lineage: Bacteria; Pseudomonadati; Pseudomonadota; Gammaproteobacteria; Enterobacterales; Yersiniaceae. The record is from RNAcentral.